Molecule: non-coding RNA, 30 nt
Filed under: Homo sapiens (human)
Lineage: Eukaryota; Metazoa; Chordata; Mammalia; Primates; Hominidae
Source: RNAcentral
UAGGCAAGAAGGAAGGGAGAAGACACAAGC